This 71-nucleotide transfer RNA is filed under the name Apilactobacillus kunkeei. Its description in RNAcentral is "tRNA-Lys". It matches the Rfam family "tRNA". From Rfam's summary of the family: Transfer RNA (tRNA) molecules are approximately 80 nucleotides in length. Their secondary structure includes four short double-helical elements and three loops (D, anti-codon, and T loops). The record is from RNAcentral. RNAcentral also lists the same sequence under 1 other name. Lineage: Bacteria; Bacillati; Bacillota; Bacilli; Lactobacillales; Lactobacillaceae.
GAGCUGUUAGCUUAAGGUAAAAGCACUCAGUCCUUUGCUGAGAAGAUGGUGUUCAAAGCAUCACAGCUCAC